GUGACAUCAUUCAUUCACACUUAUCUCACUUUCUUUUGUACUCACCAAAAUGCAACAAAAACUCACUACAAUGAGAGUAAAACGCAUUACAACUCACACACCUCACUUUUUCUAUUUUCUCUUUUUUUUUUCCUCCAACAAUCUUUCUACCCUCUCUACCUCACCCCACACACUCUGUUUAACUCAUCCUCACUCUCAUUUCAUUCACACACACAAUAUAAAUCAAUAAAAUCAUAUUUGCAACCUCUCUUUGUUUUCUCCAUUUCUCUUCUUCAAAGCUCUUACUACUUGGUAUUUUCUGCUUCCCUCUUGCUUCAUUCAUAUCAUAUGAAGAUCAUAGAGCAUUGGUGUUGGGGUUUCUAUCUAAUCUGA
Molecule: non-coding RNA, 372 nt
Organism: Vicia faba (fava bean)
Lineage: Eukaryota; Viridiplantae; Streptophyta; Magnoliopsida; Fabales; Fabaceae
Source: the annotation of a GenBank genome assembly